Molecule: ribosomal RNA, 781 nt
Filed under: uncultured Neocallimastigales
Lineage: Eukaryota; Fungi; Neocallimastigomycota; Neocallimastigomycetes; Neocallimastigales
Description: partial large subunit ribosomal RNA
Rfam family: Eukaryotic large subunit ribosomal RNA
Source: RNAcentral
AGAGAUGUGUGAUGACGCAUAUCAAUAAGCGGAGGAAAAGAAACUAACAAGGAUUCCCUUAGUAACGGCGAGUGAAGCGGGAAGAGCUCAAAUUUGAAAUCUUCAAGGGUUCUACCUUGACGAAUUGUAGUUUAAUAGAAGUGUUUUCUGUUAGUGGAGUGGCAAAAGUUCUUUGGAAUAGGACAUCAUAGAGGGUGAGAAUCCCGUAUUUGGUCAUUCCUCCUAGCUUUGUGAUACACUUUCAACGAGUCGGAUUGUUUGGGAAUGCAGUCCAAAAUGGGUGGUAAAUUUCAUCUAAAGCUAAAUAUUGGCGAGAGACCGAUAGCGAACAAGUACCGUGAGGGAAAGAUGAAAAGAACUUUGAAAAGAGAGUUAAACAGUACGUGAAAUUGUCAAAAGGGAAGCGUUUGACACCAGUGUUGUUUUUCCGAAAAUCAAUUACGAAUGUUUUAUUUUUGAGGAGUUAUGACUUCAUCGGCUUGCUCCUUUCUUUAUGAAACUUUCUUAAUGCACUUUUCGGUUAACAAGUCAACAUCAAUUUCUUUUGUUGUAAAAGGGUAUGAGGAAGGUCGGCUUUCCUUUUCGGAGAAAGUGUUUAUAGCCUUGUACCUCUGCAAUCGGAGAGAUUGAGGUCUGCAGCGUAGAUCCUUCGGGGUUAGAUACAUUUGUGCUAAGUUAUAGCUUUUCAUAGACAACUUGUUGACUAUGAUUUAGUCAUUGUAGCUUACUCGCUUACUGCUAUUUUACCUACGCUUAGGAUGUUGACGAUCAGCUGAGCGCG